UUUCUGUCAAGAUGCAAAACAGCAUGAGAUCCUCAUGAAACUGAACGGAUGUCAGUAUUCAGCCUCAAGGACCACAAGCCAAAACCAAUGUUUUUUUCUUUAUGAAUCAUCUAGUGUCAAGUAUGCAGUGAUAGCAAUGGAAAAAUGGGUGAAGACAGGAAGUGAUGGGAUUAUUUUACUCCUAAACAUUAGCUCCAUUCAGUGUCCCUCUACUAAGGCUCUUGAAAUGGUAAGAAGCUUUGGCAGAAGUCAAUCAGGGGAAGGGAGUACAGAGUAAGAGAAGAAAAUGUGUACUUGUAGGGAAGACAGCCUUAUACAAAUUGAGAUUAGUGUUUCUAGGAUUUGGAUAUAAUUUGAAUGUUCCCCUAAAGCCUAUCUGUUAAAGUCUUUCUCCCCAGAGUAACAGUGUUGGGAGGUAUUGGGUCCUUUAAAAGGAGGAGCCUGCUGAAAGGAAGUUAGGUCACUGGGCCCUUAAAAAGGCUUAAGGUAGUUCUUACAUGACCCCUUGGUAUUUAAGAAAGGGUGGCUAUUUUAAAAAAAAUAAGCCUGCCUUUCUACUUUCUGCUUCCUAGUUUGAAAGUGGGUGGCUCGCUUCUGCACGUAUUCCAACCAUGAUGUAAAACCACACCAAGCCAGAUGGGCAGCCAAACCUUGAACUUGGAACCUCUAAAACUAAGCCAGGUAAACCUCUUUGCUUCAUAAGUAUCUCGCCUCCAGUAUCCUGUUAUAGUAAUGAAAAACUGACCAACACAAGGCUAGCAGGGUUGCCACCCCAUAAUGCUUUGCCAUUAGGGACUUGGGAAUAACACAACUGUGUUUCCAGAGAGGAGGGGUGCUGUCAUAAUGGUCUGGUGGAACAGUCGCAAGGUCAUCACCAGCUGAGUCAUGCUCAUUCUCUCUUUGCUUUUCUCGGCAAAAUGAGGGCAAUAAUAGGAUGCACUACACGAGAUGCUUGUGAGAAUUAAAAGAGAUGGGAAGUACCUCGCAGAGUUUCUGGCAGGUAAUCAGCACACAGUAAAUGUUACAAUUAUAGUAUUGGGUUUUUUUUAUUUCUAAAAAAAAAAAAAAAAAAAAAAGAAAUGUUCAACAUCCUUAGUCAUCAGGGAAAUGCGAAUCAAAACAACCUUGAGAUUUCACCUCACACCAGUGAGAAUGGCUAAGAUCAAAAACUCAGGUGACAGCAAAUGCUGGCGAGGAUGUGGAGAAAGAGGAACACUCUUCCAUUGUUGGUAGGAUUGCAGACUGGUACAACCAUGCUGGAAAUCAGUCUGGAGGUUCCUCAGAAAAUUGGACAUUGAACUACCUGAGGAUCCAGCUAUACCUCUCCUGGACAUACACCCAAAAGAUGCUCCAACACACACAAGGACACAUGUUCCACUAUGUUCACAGCAGCCUUUUUUAUAAUAGCCAGAAGCUGGAAAGAACCCAUAUGCCCUUCAACAGAGGAAUGGAUACAGAAAAUGUGGUACAUAUACAAAAUAUGUUGGUGGAAUUAGAAGAGGUAUUGAAAGAAUUGAAGGAGCUUGCAACCCCAUAAGAACAACAAUGCCAAACAACCAGAGCUCCCAGGGACUAAACCACUACCAAAAGAUUAUAUAUGGACUGACCCAGGGCUCCAACUGCAUAUGCAUCUGAGGAUGGCUUUUUUGUGCACCAAUGUGGAGGAGAAGCCCUUGUUCCUGCCAAGGCUGGACAACUUCAGUGUAGGGGAAUGUGUGUGAGGGGAGGGAGUGCAUGGGGAGGGGAACAAAAGAAAAAAAGAAAGGGAAACACAAUUAUCAGGGAAGGCAGAGCUAGGAAGCAGCCUGGGUGGGAGAAUAGAGGGAGAGGGUAAAAGUAGGGCAGGAUCAGGUAUGGGGGCAGAUAGGAGGGCCAGGAGAAUGAAUGGAAAUAUGCAGCUGCCAGGAUUGGGGCUGAAAGGCGCCUCUAGAAAGUUCUGGGAUAUGAGGGAGGCACUCAGAACUCAAUGAAGUUGAGUGUAAGUGAAAUGCCCAAUGUGGAGAUAUGGAACCUCAAGAGGCCACAUUCAGUCAUUAGACAGGACCUGCCUGUGGAGGGAUGGGGACAUCACCCCACCUUCAAUAUUGAACCCAAAAUUGUUCCUGCCAAAAAGAAAUGCAGGGAUAAAAUUUGAGUAGAGACUGAAGGAAUGGAGAAUGGUUGGCCACUGUGAUCCAUCCUAUGGGUGGACACCAAACCCUGACACUUUUAUUGAUGAUGCCAUAUUGUGCUUGCAGAGAGUCUAACAUGGCUGUCCUCUGAGAGGUUCUACCAGAAGCUGACUGAGACAGAUGCAGAUACUCAGCGUCAAGCACUGGACUGAGGUUGGGGACCCCUGUGGAAGAGUUAGGGGAAGGAUUGAAAGGGAAUAUAGGACACCAACUGUGCCAACUAACCAGGAACCCUGGGACCUCCCAGAGAAUAAGCUACCAACCAAAGAGCAUACGUCGCUGUUGGAGACCCCCAGAACAGAUGCAGUAGAAGACGCCUUUUCUGGCAUCAGUGAGAAAGGAUGUGCCUCAUCCUGCAGAGUCUUGAUGCACCAUGGUUGGGAUAAUUUUGGGGCUGGGGGUGGGUGCACCUGCUCAGAGCUGAAGGGGAGGGUGGAUGGUGUGAAGAACUUUGGGAGGGGGGACUAGGAGAGGGUUGAUAUUUGGGAUAUAAAUAAAUAAGUUAAUUAUUAAUAAAAAAAUCUAUCUAUCUGAGUGUCUGUGGUCACACACACAGUAAUACACUCCUGUAAUCCUAGUUACUUGGGGUUCAGUCAGGAGGACUACAAGCUCAAGGUUAUUUUUCCUGAAUAACUUAGUUAGACCCUGUCUCAAAGAAGACAGGGGAGGAAGACAGUGGUACAAUUCUGUAGUAAAGUACUUGUCUAGCAUGCACACACAAGGAAAGGCUCCAAGUUCAGUUCUUAAUACAGUAAAAUACACACAAAUUAUGGAUGCAUUGGUUUCUUACAGCUGCAGCAGCACACUAGCAGAAACUUAGUCACCACAAAUGGAUUAGCCAGAAGCCAGAAGACCUAUUUUUAAGUUUCUAUUUUCUAGCCCCCGCCCCCUUUUCCUUAGUCGUUCUGGUUGCCUUUUAUCUUCAAAGAUGAUAAUGGCCACUUGAUAGUCUCACCUGGUAUCAUUCUGACACCAAUCUCUUGUCCUCUUCCUCCUCUUCUUCCUCCUCCUUCUUAAUUCUGGACCCUGUUUUUUUUUUAAUAUUUUAUUUAUUUUUAAAUUUUAUUUUUCUUGGAUUCUUUAUGUAUUUACAUUUCAAAUGUCAUCCCUUUUCCCCCCUCUCCCAUAUCCCCUGCUUCUAUGAGGAUGCUCUCACUCCCAUCCUCCCACUCUCACCUCAAUACCCUGGCAUUCCCCUACAUUGGGGAAAGGAGCCUUCACAGGACUCACAGCUUCUCCUUCUAAAGAUGCCAGACAAUGACAUCCUUUGCUACAUAUUUGGCUGGAGUCAUGGAUCCCUCCCUGUGUCUUCUUUGGUUGGUGGUUUAGUCCCUGGGAAUUCUGGUGGGGUCUGGUUGGUUGAUAUUGUUGUUUUUCCUAUGGUGAGGCAAACCCCUUCAGCUCCUUCAGUCUUUUCUUUUAAAUCCUCCACUGGGGUCCUCUUGUUCAGUCCAAUGGUUAGCUGCAAGCAUCCUCAUCUAUAUCAGUAGGGCUCUGGCAGAGGCUCUCAGAGUACACCCAUAUCUGGCUCCUAUCAGCAAGCCCUUCUUGGCAUCAGCAAUAGUGACUGGGUUUGGUGGCUGCUUAUGGGAUGGAUCCCCAGGUGGGACCGUCUCUGAAUGGCCUUUUCUUGGGUCUCUGCUCCACUCUUUGUCCCUGUAUUUCCUCCUGUGAGAAUUUUGUUUUACCUUCUAAGAAGGACUGAAGUGUCUACAUUUUGUCUUCCUUCUUCUAGAGCUUCAUGUGGUCUGUGACUUUUUUCUUAGGUAUUCCAAGUGUUUGGGCUCAUAUUCACUUAUCAGUGAGUUCAUACCAUGUGUGUUCUUUUGUGACUGGGUUAUCUCACUUAGGAUGAUAUUUUCUAAUUCCAUCCAUUUGCCUAAGAAUUUCAUGUAGUCAUUGUUUUUAAUAGUAGAGUAGUACUCCAUUGUGUAGAUGUACCACGUUUUCUGUAUCCAUUCCUCUGUUGAAGGACAUCUGGGUUCUUUCCAGCUUCUGGCUAUUAUAAAUAAGAGUUCUCUUUUGCUGUGUUAAAACAAAAAUGUUUUUGGGGUUGGGGAUUUAGCUCAGUGGUAGAGUGCUUGCCUAGUAAGCGCAAGGCCCUGGGUUCGGUUCUCAGCUCCAAAAAAAAUGUUUUCUUGGAGGGCUGUGGGGAGAGGGUGGGAGUUGUUUUAAAAGAACCUGAGACUAGAAUGGUAGUUUCUGAAAGCAUGACUUUUAAAUUUAAAAUAACUCCCCCGUUUGCCUCAUAGGGUAGGCAGAGGGAUGCAGUGUGUGCAUGAAUGGCAUGGCAUGCAGAUGUGGGAUGAAGACAAUGGAAAGAAGAAUUUGCUCCUUAAUCCCAUCAUGUGGGAUGCCGGGUCUGAAAUAAGGUCGAAGGUUCAGUAGCAGGAGCCUUUAUCAACUGCACCAUGGCCCUGGCCACAAAUGUCUGCAUUUUGAGAAUGAUAUCUUGGAUGCAUACAGGUCUGUCUUCUCUGUUUACUGACUUAGAGAUUCUGUUAAAGCCACAGGAAAUUUAAAGUAAGGGAAGCACAUACUAUACCUUUUUGGUAAUAUUUAGAUAAUAACUGUUAAUGCUUAGAUGUUUGUAAAUAUAUGACACUUUACAUUCAUUUGUAAAUUAGACUAUUUCUAAGAGUGGCAAUUCCUUUCUUUUUAUGGUUACUAUGAUUCCUUAUUGAUAAUUUUCAAAGUAAUAAGUUGAACCCUUGCUAUUUUCCUGUGAAUAAUGUGAAUUCAUGUAUCUUAACAUAUUUGCUGGCCUCAAAUACAACAAAGAGUAGUUGCUCACCCCCUUGUAGCUCAUAGAGGCCAGCACUGGAUAAGGCCCCUGAUAUCUUGUCUCCUAGAGGAGACUACAUAGCACCAUCUAGCACUAGCUGGAUGUGAGUGUCCUGGUUAACUUAAAACUGACUUCUCUCUGUCCUGCAUCCAAAGAUGUAGGGUCUUCAGCCACAGGGUUUUACCAUUUUACUAGGGUGGGCACCCAAGAGAAAUGGAGUUAGUCUGUACAGUAACUCAGAGGGAAGUGCCCUGUCCCUGGGACUGAGGUUUUAAUGUAAUAACCCAUGUCUUCUGGUAGAGCACUGUACACUAAGUAGAAUGCUUCUGUUCAAACUCCCUUUUAAAAAUAUAUUUCUAGUUAGCUCACAAAUAGCAGACUUUUAUAAGGCUUCUAUCUCUAGGUUUGCUUUGUCCACCCUCUACUUCUUUCCCCCACCUCUGCUUUAACUUUUAGAUUCCAGUAUUCUCUCCCUGUUCUUUCAUAUCAUGUGUUUUACUAUUCCUAGUGUUGUGUAGCCAUUUUCUCCAGGAUUAAAACCUCCCAUUUUGGAGGGAAGCCUGGCCUGUUAAGGGGAAAUGAGACAACAGAUGUUGCUAAGGGAAGGUGAAAAAAGCCAUACUACAAAGAACCUUCUUAAAGAUAAAGAAUGUAAAAAGGAAGGUGAGAUAACAGGGCAUUCCAAGGGAGGUCAGAUAUUCCAUUCUAAGGGACCUUAAGCUCAGGAAGUAAAGAACUCAAUACUUUCAGGAAGUCACUGAAACUGACUUGAUUAACCGGGCCCCUCCCUCUCCACGGAUAUGGAAGCAGUAAGGACCACUGAGAGAAGCUGAAAGACCCCCGCCAAGCUGCCUGGAAGAAGCAUGAUACAAGUCAAGCUGCCCAAAAGAAGCAAACAACAACCAGCCUCCUCAGAAGGACACUCUCCAACAUGAUGACUUCUUUGUAGUCUAUGCAAUGUGCUUCAGGUUUUCAGGUUUCAUGAGCUGUCACCCAUGUUGGAGUGGGCAUUCAGUGAUACAGAUGGCUUUGAGUCAUUUCUGCUCCUGUAAAUAACCCCUCACCCAUACUUGUUGUAUAAGCAGUACCAAUAAGUAGCACUCGCUGGUCCAUUAACUUAGGCUUUGGUAAUUUCUGCCCUUUGGUCUAUCACUGGUUCCCUAUCUUAGAUAAGUAAAUGUUUCCUCAUUUACCCCAGAAAUGGUGUCAUAUGCUAUCUCUCACUGUAUUUUGUUGUUUUUGUUUUUAAACUUGGACUUCAAGAUCAGAAGUUCACAAGUAGGAAUGAAUCUAUGCUACAAUAAACACGAGCAGAAUCCACAGCUAGAGAAGUCAGAGCCCUAAAUAGAAUCUCUUGAUUUUGUUUUUCUAAAUGGUCAUGUUGUUAAAAUGCCUUCUAAAUAUUUGUUUAUAUUUAUAGAUUUGUGCUGUUCCCAGCUGUGGUCAUUGACGCUUCUUAGUGAAGUCGGUGGCAGGUAAUGUAGAGAUUCAUUACUAGUCAAAGUGAAGCAAACAAGUAACCCAGAGUGCCCAGUCAUCGAUGGGUCAUCAAUAUCAGCCCCUCCUACUACUUCUCAGAAGCACAGACACAUUUCAAAGUUGGGCACUAAGGAAUAUAAGAGCUGGAAGAUAAGGAGUGCUAUGAAAUGUUGUCCCCCGGACACAGCAUUACUAUUGCACAUGGGAACCCACAGCAGGGACUGUCUUCCUACACAGGAUCUGUGAAAGACUGUCAGAAUCAUCUGCUUCUUCAAUGGAAAGGCCUGAUGAUGCCAAGGCCACCUUUAAGAUUCUGUCUUAGAACAGCAUAGAGGAAGAGGAGAAAAUUAAGAAGAGGAGGAGGAAGAAGAAGGAAGAAGAGGAGUAUGCCUCAUUAAGGCUACAUGCCUGGUAACUGAGGAGUACAGAAGAGGGAGUCAGUGAGUUUCCAUAUAACUCCUGGGAAUUGAACCCUGCUCCUCUGGAAGAGCAAUUCCCAGUGAGAAAGGGGUCACAAUGAUGAUCGUCAGUCGGUAUGAGCCAACUGAUCAGCUGUUCUGGAUCAUCACUGAAACAACGAAAGAAGGUGGCUUUGGAUUCCCUAGGAUUGUUGUGAACCAUUAUAUGGGUGCUGGAAAUCGAAUCUGGGUCCUUUGAAAGAACAACCAGUGCUUGUAACCACCGAGCCCUAUCUCCAGCUCUAAGACCUUCAUUCUUAACUACAGUAUCUCAUUACAUCUUUCCAACAACUCUCAAAGGGUAAGUGUCAUAUAGCUUACAAGGAGGACCAGCAGUCUCAAUUAACCUGGACCCGAGAUCUCUCAGACACUGGAUCACCAAUCAGACAGCAUACACCAACUGCAAUGAGGCCCCCAACAUGUAUACAGCAGAGGACUCUUGGAUCUGGGUUGAAUCAGAGAAGAUGCACCUAACCCUCAAGCGACUGGAGGCCCCAGGAAGUUUAGAGGUCUGGUGGGGUGGGGACAUCCUUGUGGAGAGUGGAGUGGGGGGUUAGGGGGAGGUAUGGGAUGUGGAACAAUUGGAGGGUGGACCAGGAGGGAAUAAAAUCUGGAGUGUAAAAAUAAAUAAAUAAAUGUAUGUAUGUAUGUAUGUAUGUAUGUAUGUAUGUAUGUAUGUAUGUAAGUAAGUAAGUAAGUCUGUUUGGAGUUCAGGCAAGAUAAAUAGUGUGGGAACUACAAGUCCUAGUUCUCAGCUAGGAUUUGUGGAUGGCUAAAAUAUGGAUGAUUAAAAAAAAAAGUAACUAAGUUUUAUACCUAGAUUGAGAGUAAAGCCAUUUAUUGCAAGCAAGCAAGCAAGCAAGCAAGCAAGCAAACAAACAAACAAACAAACAACAAAACCCAAAAAACUAGCUCUCAAAGGUGAGAGAGACUCUGAGGAUGCAAAGCAGGGGAUCUUAGAUAAAAUGCCCAACAGUGGGGAGAGGGAAAUUUUAGAGUCCACCUCCAGUAGAAAGACAAGGCAUCAAGUGGAGGGAUGGGAUGGCCAUCCCACAAUCAGAAACUCUGACCUAGAUUCAUUCCUGUCUAAAAGAAAUGCAGGGACAAAAAUGGAGAAGAGACUGAGAAAAAGGAGGUCCAGUGAUGAUGCUAUGAUGUACUUACAAACAGGAGUCUAGCAUGGCUGCCUUCCAAGAGGCCCAACAAGCAGCUGACUGAGACACAUGAAGAUACUUACACCCAACCAAUGAACUGAAGUCAGGGACCCCUGUGCUUGAAUUAGGGAAAGGCUGAAAGAAGUUGAGGAGGAGGGCAACCCCAUAGAAAGAUCAGCAGCUUCAACUCACCUGAAUCCCCGAGAUAUUCCAGACACUGGGCCACCAACCAGGCAGCAUAUACUAGCUGGUAAGAGCCUCCCACCCUGCCCAACACACACACAUAUACAUAGCAGAGGACUGCUUGGUCUGGCCUCCUGAGGGAAGAUGCACCUAACCCUGGAGAGACUUGAGGUCCCAGGGAGUGGGAAGGCCUGGAAGGAUGGGGGUGGAGUGGGGAGAGGGGCCAUGCUCUUGGAGAUGGUGGAAGAGGAAUGGGAUAAGGAACUGUAGGAGGGUGGACCAGGAAGGGAAUAAGGACUAAACUGUAAAAAAAAAGGUUAAAGAUAAUUAAAAAUUUUUAAAAAUAUGUGCUGAUGAAGAAAUUUAAAAUGAAAACCUUUAAUAUUUAUUAUUGGAUUUACAAUAUAAGGUGAACACACAAAGCAAGUAUGAUAUGAGAAUCAGUUUGAUAAAACACUGGUAAUAUAUUCACCAUUUUAAUUCUUUCAGAAUGUAUACUAAAUAUCACUUAGAAGUAAGUUAAACUGAAAUAUCAAUAACAAACUAAUAUAUAAAUAUUCAAAUAAGUUAAACAUUUAAACUUCUGUAUUUUAUUAGAUCAAAAUAACUUUUCUUACAAAUUUGAACAGUAGUAUUUGACAUUACAGCCUAUGAAAAUAAAAUGUAUAAAGACAUUGACAUUAUAGUUGUACUUUGUGCAUUCAUGUGGAUUAUAAUUGUGAAUAAAUAUAAUGCUAAGAAAAUAGUACAAACAUUUGAGCUCUUCAGGGUUUUUGCCUAUCACAAUGACUACUGCUUACCACGAGAGGGAAACAAAUGUCAAAGGAUAGGAAAGGACUCAGAGCCUGCCUUGCAUAUUUUAUGAUGUUAUAUAGAAUACUAUAUAUUAAGUAAUUAUGUAAGUAUUAAUACAUUUAUAAGUGAAAAAACUAGCUCUCUAUAUGUAUAUGUGUAAAGGGUGAACAAUAUAAAGGGAGCAAUGGGAGUUGGGGAUUUAGCUCAGCGGUAGAGCGCUUGACUAGCAAGCGCAAGGCCCUGGGUUCAGUCCCCAGCUCCGAAAAAAAAAAAAAAAAAAAAA
Molecule: non-coding RNA, 9308 nt
Organism: Rattus norvegicus (Norway rat)
Lineage: Eukaryota; Metazoa; Chordata; Mammalia; Rodentia; Muridae
Source: RefSeq, a predicted model, not a curated record